AUGACUGGACGCAUCUUAGUGCCUUGGCAAGCAGAGGCGUUCAAGUUGGGAAGACCUGAAGGAGAAGCAAUGAUACGUGCUGCAGAGGGAGCUGUGGCUGUGACACCACCGUUUGUUGAUCGGGAUUGUUUUCUGUGUGGAGGCUUAAUGAUAGUGUUUUUUUCUCAACCUCCACUGCAAAUGUUAAUGUUCAUCUUGUGCCAAUGCAGUUACUUUAUUACAACGGUAAACUAUUACCUAAACUUAAGCAAUGCAACGGGGAAAGGAGCCCACAGCACCAAAGGGGCAGCUGUGCUGGGAUGGUGCUGGUGCGCUGCGGGUGUCUGCAGGGGCAUGGGGGUGGCACCACGGGGAUGUGGGCAGCAGGGGACGUCCUGGGGAGGCUCCUGGGGGGGGGUUUCUGAAGGCACACAGUGCUCAGGGGUGGCGUUUCAAGUAUCCACAGCACAAAUGCCUGCCUUUUACAGAAGGUUGUAGGCUUGCAGCUGUGGCUGUGUGGAGCAGGGGUCUCUGUGGUGUCAGAGGCCCAGACCAUGGGAUGCUUUGUGCUUAUAACCACUGAGAACUGAACUGGGGCACAUGGUGCACCCAGCUGUGGUGCAGGCACCCAGGGAGUUUAUCACCUCCGGGGGGGGGGGGGGGGGUGUUAGCCUCAUCCUGCUCUGGCGGCAUCAGACACAGAAGCCAGUGCCACAGCUUGCCCUUGGCCGGUCCCAUCGUGGCUCUGACAUGCUGACUGCUGCUGCUCCUGGGGCAUGGGCUGACCCCCGAGCCCGGGCUUGCAGACCUGCUGAAAGCUCUACGGUAAACGCCUGCUCUGCCCGUGCUCUGCAGAGCUCGGGGUGUCCCUGGCACCGAGCUGGUGGCCCCCACCUCCCCGUGGACAAGGGGUGCUGGAGGCUGGGGACACCACAGCACGUCUUGUGAGAUGUUAAAAGACCCAAAUGAAAGACGAAGCAUGUUAGAGCAUCCAAAAUCAUCCAGCCAGUACCCUGUCUCCAGCAGGAACUGGGCAAAUACUGAGUGCCCCCUGCCUGCAAACAAGCCUCCCGGUUUCUAGUAAUUAGCAGAUUAGUGACCUCCUGAGCCAGAAGUUGCACUGGGACUGAGGUGCUUAAUAGCCACAGAUAGGUUUCUUCUCUCUGAAUUAAUUGAAUCCCUUUUUGAACCCAUUUAUCCUUCUGGCUGUCAUGCCUCUUACAGUUUAAUUACACAGUGCCUGAUGAUUUAACUGGGUGCCUCGUUCCUGUUGUACCGAGCAUAAGAAACAGCCAUUUAUAGUCUCACCUUCUUCACAUCAUUUAUCCAAAAAUCUCACUGCAGGUUUCUACAACAUCUGAUGCUUAUUCAUGCCUUGAUUUCUGAAGACAUUGGGCAGGAAUCUAGUUUCUUUCUCUUAAUGGUUUUAUUAGUGCAUAAAGUGGGGGGGGAAUGAGUUCUGAACAUGUUCCAAAAGACCUAUAUCUGGAAGGUAAAC
Molecule: long non-coding RNA, 1477 nt
Filed under: Anas platyrhynchos platyrhynchos (common mallard)
Lineage: Eukaryota; Metazoa; Chordata; Aves; Anseriformes; Anatidae
Description: lncRNA (ENSAPLG00000022614.1)
Source: RNAcentral